AUUGAACGCUGGCGGCAUGCUUUACACAUGCAAGUCGAGCGGCAGCGCGGGGGCAACCCUGGCGGCGAGCGGCGAACGGGUGAGUAACACAUCGGAACGUACCUGGUUGUGGGGGAUAACCUACCGAAAGGUAGGCUAAUACCGCAUGAGCUCGGGAGAGGAAAGCGGGGGACCUGAGAGGGCCUCGCGCGACUGGAGCGGCCGAUGUCCGAUUAGCUAGUUGGUGGGGUAAAGGCUACCAAGGCGACGAUCGGUAGCUGGUCUGAGAGGAUGAUCAGCCACACUGGGACUGAGACACGGCCCAGACUCCUACGGGAGGCAGCAGUGGGGAAUUUUGGACAAUGGGGGCAACCCUGAUCCAGCCAUGCCGCGU
RNAcentral lists this ribosomal RNA (373 nucleotides) under uncultured bacterium. Its description in RNAcentral is "bacterial SSU rRNA". It matches the Rfam family "Bacterial small subunit ribosomal RNA", at positions 28 to 402 of the family's 1533-position model. The record is from RNAcentral.